Molecule: ribosomal RNA, 490 nt
Filed under: uncultured bacterium
Lineage: Bacteria
Description: partial 16S ribosomal RNA
Rfam family: Bacterial small subunit ribosomal RNA
Source: RNAcentral
AUUGAACGCUGGCGGCAUGCUUUACACAUGCAAGUCGGACGGCAGCACAGAGAAGCUUGCUUCUUGGGUGGCGAGUGGCGAACGGGUGAGUAACAUAUCGGAACGUACCGAGCAGUGGGGGAUAACUAAUCGAAAGAUUAGCUAAUACCGCAUAUCUUCUGAGGAAGAAAGCAGGGGACCAUUUGGCCUUGCGCUGUUUGAGCGGCCGAUAUCUGAUUAGCUAGUUGGUGGGGUAAAGGCCUACCAAGGCGACGAUCAGUAGCGGGUCUGAGAGGAUGAUCCGCCACACUGGGACUGAGACACGGCCCAGACUCCUACGGGGGGCAGCAGUGGGGAAUUUUGGACAAUGGGCGCAAGCCUGAUCCAGCCAUGCCGCGUGUCUGAAGAAGGCCUUCGGGUUGUAAAGGACUUUUGUCAGGGAAGAAAAGGGCGGGGUUAAUACCCCUGUCUGAUGACGGUACCUGAAGAAUAAGCACCGGCUAACUACGUG